This 697-nucleotide ribosomal RNA is filed under the name Thomasclavelia ramosa. Its description in RNAcentral is "partial 23S ribosomal RNA". It matches the Rfam family "Bacterial large subunit ribosomal RNA", at positions 1919 to 2615 of the family's 2925-position model. Lineage: Bacteria; Bacillati; Bacillota; Erysipelotrichia; Erysipelotrichales; Coprobacillaceae. The record is from RNAcentral.
CCCAGUAAACGGCGGCCGUAACUAUAACGGUCCUAAGGUAGCGAAAUUCCUUGUCGGGUAAGUUCCGACCUGCACGAAAGGUGUAAUGAUUUGGGCACUGUCUCAACAAUGCACCCGGUGAAAUUGAAAUACCAGUGAAGAUGCUGGUUACCUGCGCCAGGACGGAAAGACCCCAUGGAGCUUUACUCCAGUUUGAUACUGGGAUUCGGCAUGGUAUGUACAGGAUAGGUGGGAGACUGAGAAGGUAUGACGUCAGUUGUACCGGAGUCGCUGUUGGGAUACCACCCUUACCAUGUUGGAUUUCUAACCUGUGGCCGUAAGCCGGUCAGGGGACAAUGUCAGGCGGGGAGUUUGACUGGGGCGGUCGCCUCCGAAAGGGUAUCGGAGGCGCUCAAAGGUUCCCUCAGAAUGGUUGGAAACCAUUCGAAGAGUGCAAAGGCAGAAGGGAGCUUGACUGUGACACCGACGGGUGGAGCAGGUACGAAAGUAGGACUUAGUGAUCCGGUGGUAUAAAGUGGGAUUGCCAUCGCUCAACGGAUAAAAGCUACCCUGGGGAUAACAGGCUUAUCACUCCCAAGAGUUCACAUCGACGGAGUGGUUUGGCACCUCGAUGUCGGCUCAUCGCAUCCUGGAGCUGUAGCAGGUUCCAAGGGUUGGGCUGUUCGCCCAUUAAAGCGGUACGCGAGCUGGGUUCAGA